This 233-nucleotide ribosomal RNA is filed under the name uncultured bacterium. RNAcentral's name for it is "partial 16S ribosomal RNA". It matches the Rfam family "Bacterial small subunit ribosomal RNA", at positions 796 to 1041 of the family's 1533-position model. The record is from RNAcentral.
CACGCUGUAAACGAUGAUGACUAACUAUGGCCGUGAGGCCGUGGUGAAGCUAACGCAUUAAGUCAUCCGCCUGGGAAGUACGGUCGCAAGACUGAAACUUAAAGGAAUUGACGGGACCCCGCACAAGCAGUGGAGCAUGUGGUUUAAUUCGACGCUACGCGAGAAACCUUACCAGGGUUUGACAUGGUGGAUAAUACCAUAGAAAUAUGGGGAUAAUACCCACACACAGGUGG